This 226-nucleotide unclassified non-coding RNA is filed under the name uncultured fungus. RNAcentral's name for it is "sequence contains ITS1, 5.8S rRNA gene". The stretch from base 178 to 226 matches the Rfam family "5.8S ribosomal RNA", at positions 1 to 49 of the family's 154-position model. The record is from RNAcentral. Lineage: Eukaryota; Fungi.
UCUCCGUAGGUGAACCUGCGGAGGGAUCAUUACUGAGUGAGGGUUUAACCGCCCGACCUCCAACCCUUUGUGAACACAACUUGUUGCUUCGGGGGCGACCCUGCCGUCCGCGGCUGAGCGCCCCCGGGGUCAAUCAAACACUGCAUCUUUGCGUCGGAGUUUAAGUAAAUUAAACAAAACUUUCAACAACGGAUCUCUUGGUUCUGGCAUCGAUGAAGAACGCAGC